RNAcentral lists this ribosomal RNA (479 nucleotides) under uncultured bacterium. RNAcentral's name for it is "partial 16S ribosomal RNA". It matches the Rfam family "Bacterial small subunit ribosomal RNA", at positions 28 to 507 of the family's 1533-position model. The record is from RNAcentral.
GAUGAACGCUAGCGGGAGGCCUAACACAUGCAAGCCGAGCGGUAUUGUUUCUUCGGAAAUGCGAGAGCGGCGUACGGGUGCGUAACACGUGUGCAACCUGCCUUUAUCUGGGGGAUAGCCUUUCGAAAGGAAGAUUAAUACUCCAUAAUAUAUUGAACGGCAUCGUUUAAUAUUGAAAGCUCCGGCGGAUAGAGAUGGGCACGCGCAAGAUUAGCUAGUUGGUGAGGUAACGGCUCACCAAGGCGAUGAUCUUUAGGGGGCCUGAGAGGGUGAUCCCCCACACUGGUACUGAGACACGGACCAGACUCCUACGGGAGGCAGCAGUGAGGAAUAUUGGUCAAUGGGUGCAAGCCUGAACCAGCCAUCCCGCGUGAAGGACGACUGCCCUAUGGGUUGUAAACUUCUUUUGUAUAGGGAUAAACCUACCCUCGGGAGGGUAGCUGAAGGUACUAUACGAAUAAGCACCGGCUAACUCCGUG